UACGUAGGGUGCAAGCGUUGUCCGGAAUUAUUGGGCGUAAAGAGCUCGUAGGCGGUUCGUCGCGUCGGCUGUGAAAACCCGGAGCUCAACUCCGGGCCUGCAGUCGAUACGGGCGGACUGGAGUGUUGCAGGGGAGACUGGAAUUCCUGGUGUAGCGGUGAAAUGCGCAGAUAUCAGGAGGAACACCGGUGGCGAAGGCGGUGGUCUGGGCCAAAACUGACGCUGAGGAGCGAAAGCCAGGGGAGCAAACGGG
Molecule: ribosomal RNA, 253 nt
Filed under: uncultured bacterium
Lineage: Bacteria
Description: partial 16S ribosomal RNA
Rfam family: Bacterial small subunit ribosomal RNA
Source: RNAcentral